GUUUUUCCGCGCCGUAGCUAACGCAUUAAGUGCCCCGCCUGGGGAGUACGGCCGCAAGGCUAAAACUCAAAGGAAUUGACGGGGGCCCGCACAAGCGGCGGAGCAUGCGGAUUAAUUCGAUGCAACGCGAAGAACCUUACCAAGGCUUGACAUGGACCGGACCGCCGCAGAAAUGUGGUUUCUCCUUUUGGGGCCGGUUCACAGGUGGUGCAUGGUUGUCGUCAGCUCGUGUCGUGAGAUGUUGGGUUAAGUCCCGCAACGAGCGCAACCCUCGUUCCAUGUUGCCAGCACGUGAUGGUGGGGACUCAUGGGAGACUGCCGGGGUCAACUCGGAGGAAGGUGGGGACGACGUCAAAUCAUCAUGCCCCUUAUGUCUUGGGCUUCACGCAUGCUACAAUGGCCGGUACAAAGGGUUGCGAUACUGUGAGGUGGAGCUAAUCCCAAAAAGCCGGUCUCAGUUCGGAUUGGGGUCUGCAACUCGACCCCAUGAAGUCGGAGUCGCUAGUAAUCGCAGAUCAGCAACGCUGCGGUGAAUACGUUCCCGGGCCUUGUACACACCGCCCGUCAAGUCACGAAAGUUGGUAACACCCGAAGCCGGUGGCCUAACCCCUUGUGG
RNAcentral lists this ribosomal RNA (616 nucleotides) under Arthrobacter globiformis. RNAcentral's name for it is "bacterial SSU rRNA". It matches the Rfam family "Bacterial small subunit ribosomal RNA", at positions 835 to 1446 of the family's 1533-position model. Lineage: Bacteria; Bacillati; Actinomycetota; Actinomycetes; Micrococcales; Micrococcaceae. The record is from RNAcentral.